RNAcentral lists this ribosomal RNA (1340 nucleotides) under metagenome. RNAcentral's name for it is "bacterial SSU rRNA". It matches the Rfam family "Bacterial small subunit ribosomal RNA", at positions 8 to 1369 of the family's 1533-position model. The record is from RNAcentral.
AGAGUUUGAUCCUGGCUCAGGAUGAACGCUGGCGGCGCGCCUAACACAUGCAAGUCGAACGAGCGAGAGAGAGCUUGCUUUCUUGAGCGAGUGGCGAACGGGUGAGUAACGCGUGAGGAACCUGCCUCAAAGAGGGGGACAACAGUUGGAAACGACUGCUAAUACCGCAUAAGCCCACGGCUCGGCAUCGAGCAGAGGGAAAAGGAGCAAUCCGCUUUGAGAUGGCCUCGCGUCCGAUUAGCUAGUUGGUGAGGUAACGGCCCACCAAGGCGACGAUCGGUAGCCGGACUGAGAGGUUGAACGGCCACAUUGGGACUGAGACACGGCCCAGACUCCUACGGGAGGCAGCAGUGGGGAAUAUUGCACAAUGGGGGAAACCCUGAUGCAGCGACGCCGCGUGGAGGAAGAAGGUCUUCGGAUUGUAAACUCCUGUUGUUGAGGAAGAUAAUGACGGUACUCAACAAGGAAGUGACGGCUAACUACGUGCCAGCAGCCGCGGUAAAACGUAGGUCACAAGCGUUGUCCGGAAUUACUGGGUGUAAAGGGAGCGCAGGCGGGAAGACAAGUUGGAAGUGAAAUCCAUGGGCUCAACCCAUGAACUGCUUUCAAAACUGUUUUUCUUGAGUAGUGCAGAGGUAGGCGGAAUUCCCGGUGUAGCGGUGGAAUGCGUAGAUAUCGGGAGGAACACCAGUGGCGAAGGCGGCCUACUGGGCACCAACUGACGCUGAGGCUCGGAAGUGUGGGUAGCAAACAGGAUUAGAUACCCUGGUAGUCCACACUGUAAACGAUGAUUACUAGGUGUUGGAGGAUUGACCCCUUCAGUGCCGCAGUUAACACAAUAAGUAAUCCACCUGGGGAGUACGACCGCAAGGUUGAAACUCAAAGGAAUUGACGGGGGCCCGCACAAGCAGUGGAGUAUGUGGUUUAAUUCGACGCAACGCGAAGAACCUUACCAAGUCUUGACAUCCCUUGACGAUGCUGGAAACAGUAUUUCUCUUCGGAGCAAGGAGACAGGUGGUGCAUGGUUGUCGUCAGCUCGUGUCGUGAGAUGUUGGGUUAAGUCCCGCAACGAGCGCAACCCUUAUGGUCAGUUACUACGCAAGAGGACUCUGGCCAGACUGCCGUUGACAAAACGGAGGAAGGUGGGGAUGACGUCAAAUCAUCAUGCCCUUUAUGACUUGGGCUACACACGUACUACAAUGGCGUUAAACAAAGAGAAGCAAGACCGCGAGGUGGAGCAAAGCUCAGAAACAACGUCCCAGUUCGGACUGCAGGCUGCAACUCGCCUGCACGAAGUCGGAAUUGCUAGUAAUCGCAGAUCAGCAUGCUGCGGUGAAUAC